GAUGAACGCUGGCGGCGUGCCUAAUACAUGCAAGUCGAGCGAACAGAUAAGGAGCUUGCUCCUUUGACGUUAGCGGCGGACGGGUGAGUUACACGUGGAUAACCUACCUAUAAGACUGGGAUAACUUCGGGAAACCGGAGCUAAUACCGGAUAACAUAUUGAACUGCAUGGUUCAAUAGUGAAAGGCGGCUUUGCUGUCACUUAUAGAUGGAUCCGCGCCGUAUUAGCUAGUUGGUAAGGUAACGGCUUACCAAGGCAACGAUACGUAGCCGACCUGAGAGGGUGAUCGGCCACACUGGAACUGAGACACGGUCCAGACUCCUACGGGAGGCAGCAGUAGGGAAUCUUCCGCAAUGGGCGAAAGCCUGACGGAGCAACGCCGCGUGAGUGAUGAAGGUCUUCGGAUCGUAAAACUCUGUUAUCAGGGAAGAACAAAUGUGUAAGUAACUGUGCACAUCUUGACGGUACCUGAUCAGAAAGCCACGGCUAACUACGUG
This 497-nucleotide ribosomal RNA is filed under the name uncultured bacterium. Its description in RNAcentral is "partial 16S ribosomal RNA". It matches the Rfam family "Bacterial small subunit ribosomal RNA", at positions 28 to 507 of the family's 1533-position model. The record is from RNAcentral.